RNAcentral lists this ribosomal RNA (460 nucleotides) under uncultured bacterium. Its description in RNAcentral is "bacterial SSU rRNA". It matches the Rfam family "Bacterial small subunit ribosomal RNA", at positions 337 to 794 of the family's 1533-position model. The record is from RNAcentral.
CCCUACGGGGGGCAGCAGUAAGGAAUAUUGGUCAAUGGACGGAAGUCUGAACCAGCCAUGCCGCGUGCAGGAAGACGGUCCUCUGGAUUGUAAACUGCUUUUGUUAGGGAAGAAACUUCCGUACGUGUACGGGACUGACGGUACCUAAAGAAUAAGGAUCGGCUAACUCCGUGCCAGCAGCCGCGGUAAUACGGAGGAUCCAAGCGUUAUCCGGAUUUAUUGGGUUUAAAGGGUGCGUAGGCGGCGUUGUAAGUCAGUGGUGAAAGUUUGCAGCUUAACUGUAAAAUUGCCAUUGAUACUGCAGUGCUUGAGUAUAGAUGAGGUGGGCGGAAUGUGUCAUGUAGCGGUGAAAUGCAUAGAUAUGACACAGAACACCGAUUGCGAAGGCAGCUCACUAAACUAUAACUGACGCUGAGGCACGAAAGCGUGGGGAUCAAACAGGAUUAGAUACCCUGGUAGG